Molecule: ribosomal RNA, 423 nt
Filed under: Sinosolenaia oleivora
Lineage: Eukaryota; Metazoa; Mollusca; Bivalvia; Unionida; Unionidae
Description: partial 28S ribosomal RNA
Source: RNAcentral
UGGACCGCAUGACGUCGACCCGGGGGAUUCAACCAGGCCGUUGCGAUCGGGACGCGUGGGGGUUAUGCGGAGCUGUAAAGCCCGUGCCUCUGCGUGGGUCUCCGGGCGGACUGGUGCACUUUCCUCGGGUUGAUUGCCACGACCGGCUCUCCGUGCGGCCACAAGCCUGUCGCUGGGAAGGUGACCGUGGGCCCCGCGCCCGCGGUGUUACAGCCCAGCCUGUUCGUUGAGCUCGUCGGAGGGCCGAGGAAGUUGCCGUUUCUCAGCCACCCUCUGGCCAUCCUUGCUCGUCACGACUGGGGUGAACUGCUCGUCAGUGCUCUCCCGACCGCGAGCGUAGGAAGGGCUGGUACGGUGCGAGAAUUGCUUCGGGCCAGUGGCGAAUCGGUCGGUCCUCCACCCGACCCGUCUUGAAACACGGAC